ACAAGCGUGGAGCAUGUGGUUUAAUUCGAAGCAACGCGAAGAACCUUACCAGGUCUUGACAUCCCGAUGCUAUUCUAGAGAUAGAAAGUUACUUCGGUACAUCGGUGACAGGUGGUGCAUGGUUGUCGUCAGCUCGUGUCGUGAGAUGUUGGGUUAAGUCCCGCAACGAGCGCAACCCUUGUCUUAAUUGCCAGCAUUCAGUUGGGCACUUUAAAGAGACUGCCGGUGUUAAGCCGGAGGAAGGUGGGGAUGACGUCAAGUCCUCAUGGCCUUUAUGCCCAGGGCUACACACGUGCUACAAUGGGUGGUACAAAGAGAUGCCAACUCGCGAGAGCGCGCCAAUCUCAGAAAGCCAUCCUCAGUUCGGAUUGGAGUCUGCAACUCGACUCCAUGAAGUUGGAAUCGCUAGUAAUCGCGGAUCAGCACGCCGCGGUGAAUACGUUCCCGGGCCUU
Molecule: ribosomal RNA, 453 nt
Filed under: uncultured Smithella sp.
Lineage: Bacteria; Pseudomonadati; Thermodesulfobacteriota; Syntrophia; Syntrophales; Smithellaceae
Description: bacterial SSU rRNA
Rfam family: Bacterial small subunit ribosomal RNA
Source: RNAcentral